RNAcentral lists this small nuclear RNA (105 nucleotides) under Neotoma lepida (desert woodrat). Lineage: Eukaryota; Metazoa; Chordata; Mammalia; Rodentia; Cricetidae. The record is from RNAcentral.
ACACAGGUGCUUGCUGCGUGACUGAAAACUCACUUAACACAGAGAAGAUUGGCAUGGCCCCUACACGAGGAUAACACAGAAAUUCGUGAAGUACUCCAUAGUUUU